Long non-coding RNA from Manis javanica (Malayan pangolin), 413 nucleotides. RefSeq lists it as uncharacterized. The record is from RefSeq and is a predicted model, not a curated record. NCBI's taxonomy places the organism in Eukaryota, Metazoa, Chordata, Mammalia, Pholidota, Manidae.
ACACACACACACACACACACACACACACGCGCGCGCAAGCACGCACGCACGCAAGCAGCUCAGCUAGUUGCUGCUGCACUGGUGGAGUUAAGAGACAGGAAAAAGCCCAGGCUGAGUUGGGGGCAGGGAGAGAGAAAGAGAGGGAGAGAGGGAGAGCUGCCUCCUGUGUCCUGGUAAAAUGGCAGAAGAGAGGUCAGGGUGGCUAGCCCUCUACCAUCAGGAUCUGAAUGGAAGCUCAGCUCGAAGAGGAGCUAGACCACAUCUCGUUUUUGUAAGAAGGUUGCUUAUACUCAAUGCCUCAGAAUCUUCCUUUACAAAAUGCAAAUUAUAUACUUCACCUGAAAGUACUCCCUGAAUAAAUCACUGGCAGGAGAAUCUUCACCUCAGCCUCUGCUUCUGAGGAACCCAACUAU